UCAGCACGGAAGAAGCGAAAGUGACGGUACGUGCAGAAGAAGCGCCGGCUAACUACGUGCCAGCAGCCGCGGUAAUACGUAGGGCGCAAGCGUUGUCCGGAAUUAUUGGGCGUAAAGAGCUCGUAGGCGGUUUGUCGCGUCUGCUGUGAAAGCCCGGGGCUUAACCCCGUGGUGUGCAGUGGGUACGGGCAGACUAGAGUGCAGUAGGGGAGACUGGAAUUCCUGGUGUAGCGGUGAAAUGCGCAGAUAUCAGGAGGAACACCGAUGGCGAAGGCAGGUCUCUGGGCUGUUACUGACGCUGAGGAGCGAAAGCAUGGGGAGCGAACAGGAUUAGAUACCCUGGUAGUCCAUGCCGUAAACGUUGGGCACUAGGUGUGGGGGACAUUCCACGUUUUCCGCGCCGUAGCUAACGCAUUAAGUGCCCCGCCUGGGGAGUACGGCCGCAAGGCUAAAACUCAAAGGAAUUGACGGGGGCCCGCACCAGCGGCGGAGCAUGCGGAUUAAUUCGAUGCAACGCGAAGAACCUUACCAAGGCUUGACAUACACCAGACCGGUCCAGAGAUGGUCCUUCCCCUUUGGGGUUGGUGUACAGGUGGUGCAUGGUUGUCGUCAGCUCGUGUCGUGAGAUGUUGGGUUAAGUCCCGCAACGAGCGCAACCCUCGUUCUAUGUUGCCAGCACGUGAUGGUGGGGACUCAUAGGAGACUGCCGGGGUCAACUCGGAGGAAGGUGGGGAUGACGUCAAAUCAUCAUGCCCCUUAUGUCUUGGGCUUCACGCAUGCUACAAUGGCCGGUACAAUGGGUUGCGAUACCGUGAGGUGGAGCUAAUCCCAAAAAGCUGGUCUCAGUUCGGAUCGUGGUCUGCAACUCGACCACGUGAAGUCGGAGUCGCUAGUAAUCGCAGAUCAGCAACGCUGCGGUGAAUACGUUCCCGGGCCUUGUACACACCGCCCGUCAAGUCACGAAAGUUGGUAACACCCGAAGCCGGUGGCCUAACCCUU
This 999-nucleotide ribosomal RNA is filed under the name Kocuria sp. RNAcentral's name for it is "bacterial SSU rRNA". It matches the Rfam family "Bacterial small subunit ribosomal RNA", at positions 434 to 1443 of the family's 1533-position model. Lineage: Bacteria; Bacillati; Actinomycetota; Actinomycetes; Micrococcales; Micrococcaceae. The record is from RNAcentral.